CAGCAGCCGCGGGAAUACGUAGGGUGCGAACGUUAAUCGGAAUUACUGGGCGUAAAGCGUGCGCAGGCGGUUGUGUAAGACAGGUGUGAAAUCCCCGGGCUUAACCUGGGAACUGCGCUUGUGACUGCACAGCUAGAGUAUGGCAGAGGGGGGUGGAAUUCCACGUGUAGCAGUGAAAUGCGUGGAGAUGUGGAGGAACACCGAUGGCGAAGGCAGCCCCCUGGGCCAAUACUGACGCUCAUGCACGAAAGCGUGGGGAGCAAACAGGAUUAGAUACCCCCGUAGUCCCUGUCUCUUAUAC
This 301-nucleotide ribosomal RNA is filed under the name uncultured bacterium. RNAcentral describes it as "partial 16S ribosomal RNA". It matches the Rfam family "Bacterial small subunit ribosomal RNA", at positions 509 to 807 of the family's 1533-position model. The record is from RNAcentral.